UACCGCGUGGGUGAAGAAGGCCUUCGGGUUGUAAAGCCCUUUUGUUGGGAAAGAAAUCCAGCCGGCUAAUACCUGGUUGGGAUGACGGUACCCAAAGAAUAAGCACCGGCUAACUUCGUGCCAGCAGCCGCGGUAAUACGAAGGGUGCAAGCGUUACUCGGAAUUACUGGGCGUAAAGCGUGCGUAGGUGGUUGUUUAAGUCUGUUGUGAAAGCCCUGGGCUCAACCUGGGAACUGCAGUGGAAACUGGACGACUAGAGUGUGGUAGAGGGUAGCGGAAUUCCUGGUGUAGCAGUGAAAUGCGUAGAGAUCAGGAGGAACAUCCAUGGCGAAGGCAGCUACCUGGACCAACACUGACACUGAGGCACGAAAGCGUGGGGAGCAAACAGGAUUAGAUACCCUGGUAGUCCACGCCCUAAACGAUGCGAACUGGAUGUUGGGUGCAAUUUGGCACGCAGUAUCGAAGCUAACGCGUUAAGUUCGCCGCCUGGGGAGUACGGUCGCAAGACUGAAACUCAAAGGAAUUGACGGGGGCCCGCACAAGCGGUGGAGUAUGUGGUUUAAUUCGAUGCAACGCGAAGAACCUUACCUGGCCUUGACAUGUCGAGAACUUUCCAGAG
Molecule: ribosomal RNA, 619 nt
Filed under: Stenotrophomonas sp. Ri3Pw_6352
Lineage: Bacteria; Pseudomonadati; Pseudomonadota; Gammaproteobacteria; Lysobacterales; Lysobacteraceae
Description: bacterial SSU rRNA
Rfam family: Bacterial small subunit ribosomal RNA
Source: RNAcentral